RNAcentral lists this long non-coding RNA (347 nucleotides) under Fragaria vesca (wild strawberry). RNAcentral's name for it is "long non-coding RNA (FVES_LNC004050)". The record is from RNAcentral. Lineage: Eukaryota; Viridiplantae; Streptophyta; Magnoliopsida; Rosales; Rosaceae.
GUCGGCUAAACCCUAAAAUUUUUCUAUUACAUACUAUAGCCCUAUCUUCGGUGGUUAUUUUGUGUAAAAUUUUUAAACGACUUGUUGCGUCUCAUUGAUUUAAAACUAUUUUCAGUUCAAGGUCCGGCCAAAAUACGAAAUUUAGACGGUCCAACGACUUUUUCCGUGCAUUUAAGGGUUUGACUUACGGGAUUGACCGUCCGGAUCGAGCACUUAACUUUGUCGGAUCAAGUUGAAUUUUUGUCCAUACAUGUAUUUUGUCAUGAUGGUCAGAUCUGACGGUCGGAUUUCCGUUUCUCAAGUUUGAUCAUCACAAUCACAACAUGCCUACUAAUGUUGUAUAACUU